ACCUUGCUGACGAGUUCCAAGUAGCACGAAACUCGGGUCCAGGGU
Schistosoma haematobium is the source of this 45-nucleotide non-coding RNA. The record is from Rfam. NCBI's taxonomy places the organism in Eukaryota, Metazoa, Platyhelminthes, Trematoda, Strigeidida, Schistosomatidae.